RNAcentral lists this ribosomal RNA (441 nucleotides) under uncultured bacterium. Its description in RNAcentral is "bacterial SSU rRNA". It matches the Rfam family "Bacterial small subunit ribosomal RNA", at positions 28 to 468 of the family's 1533-position model. The record is from RNAcentral.
GAUGAACGUUGGCGGCGUGGAUUAGGCAUGCAAGUCGAGCGAGAACCCCGCAAGGGGGGACAGCGGCAAACGGGGUAGUAAGGCGUCGGAACGUGCCCUCGGGACGGGGAUAGCGGCGGGAAACUGCCGGUAAUACCCGAUGAUCUGGAAGCCUGUGAUGGGCUUCCAGCAAAGGUGUGAUUCCGCCGGAGGAGCGGCCGACGUGGUAUUAGCUAGUUGGCGGGGUAAUGGCCCACCAAGGCGAUGAUGCCUAGGGGGAUGUGAGAGCAUGAUCCCCACCAUUGGGGACUGAGACACUGCCCAGACACCUACGGGUGGCUGCAGUCGAGAAUCUUCGUCAAUGGGCGAAAGCCUGAACGAGCGACGCCGCGUGCGGGAUGAAGGCCCUUGGGUUGUAAACCGCUGUCGAGGGGGAUGAAGGUCAUUAGGGACUCCUGAUGA